RNAcentral lists this ribosomal RNA (253 nucleotides) under uncultured bacterium. RNAcentral's name for it is "partial 16S ribosomal RNA". It matches the Rfam family "Bacterial small subunit ribosomal RNA", at positions 524 to 776 of the family's 1533-position model. The record is from RNAcentral.
UACGUAGGGGGCAAGCGUUGUCCGGAAUCAUUGGGCGUAAAGAGCGUGUAGGCGGCUUGGUAAGUCCGCUGUGAAAGUCCAGGGCUCAACCCAGGAAUGCCGGUGGAAACUGUCAAGCUUGAGUCCGGAAGAGGCGAGUGGAAUUCCUGGUGUAGCGGUGAAAUGCGCAGAUAUCAGGAGGAACACCAAUGGCGAAGGCAGCUCGCUGGGACGGUACUGACGCUGAGACGCGAAAGCGUGGGGAGCAAACAGG